CCUACGGGUGGCAGCAGUGAGGAAUAUUGGUCAAUGGACGAGAGUCUGAACCAGCCAAGUAGCGUGAAGGAUGACUGCCCUAUGGGUUGUAAACUUCUUUUAUAUGGGAAUAAAAUGUUCCACGUGUGGGAUUUUGUAUGUACCAUAUGAAUAAGGAUCGGCUAACUCCGUGCCAGCAGCCGCGGUAAUACGGAGGAUCCGAGCGUUAUCCGGAUUUAUUGGGUUUAAAGGGAGCGUAGGUGGAUUGUUAAGUGAGUUGUGAAAGUUUGCGGCUCAACCGUAAAAGUGCAGUUGAAACUGGCAGUCUUGAGUACAGUAGAGGUGGGCGGAAUUCGUGGUGUAGCGGUGAAAUGCUUAGAUAUCACGAAGAACUCCGAUUGCGAAGGCAGUUCACUGGACUGCAACUGACACUGAGGCUCGAAAGUGUGGGUAUCAAACAGGAUUAGAUACCCGUGUAGUC
RNAcentral lists this ribosomal RNA (460 nucleotides) under uncultured bacterium. RNAcentral's name for it is "partial 16S ribosomal RNA". It matches the Rfam family "Bacterial small subunit ribosomal RNA", at positions 338 to 795 of the family's 1533-position model. The record is from RNAcentral.